ANNCCUACGGGNGGCUGCAGUAGGGAAUCUUCCGCAAUGGGCGAAAGCCUGACGGAGCAAUGCCGCGUGAGUGAUGAAGGUUUUCGGAUCGUAAAGCUCUGUUGCCAGGGAAGAACGCUUGGGAGAGUAACUGCUCUCAAGGUGACGGUACCUGAGAAGAAAGCCCCGGCUAACUACGUGCCAGCAGCCGCGGUAAUACGUAGGGGGCAAGCGUUGUCCGGAAUUAUUGGGCGUAAAGCGCGCGCAGGCGGUCAUUUAAGUCUGGUGUUUAAUCCCGGGGCUCAACCCCGGAUCGCACUGGAAACUGGGUGACUUGAGUGCAGAAGAGGAGAGUGGAAUUCCACGUGUAGCGGUGAAAUGCGUAGAUAUGUGGAGGAACACCAGUGGCGAAGGCGACUCUCUGGGCUGUAACUGACGCUGAGGCGCGAAAGCGUGGGGAGCAAACAGGAUUAGAUACCCUAAGUAGUCA
RNAcentral lists this ribosomal RNA (469 nucleotides) under Paenibacillus mobilis. RNAcentral's name for it is "bacterial SSU rRNA". It matches the Rfam family "Bacterial small subunit ribosomal RNA", at positions 335 to 796 of the family's 1533-position model. The record is from RNAcentral. Lineage: Bacteria; Bacillati; Bacillota; Bacilli; Caryophanales; Paenibacillaceae.